UCCUACGGGACGCAGCAGUGAGGAAUAUUGGUCAAUGGACGCAAGUCUGAACCAGCCAUGCCGCGUGCAGGAAGACGGCUCUAUGAGUUGUAAACUGCUUUUGUACGAGGGUAAACGCAGAUACGCGUAUCUGUCUGAAAGUAUCGUACGAAUAAGGAUCGGCUAACUCCGUGCCAGCAGCCGCGGUAAUACGGAGGAUUCAAGCGUUAUCCGGAUUUAUUGGGUUUAAAGGGUGCGUAGGCGGUCAGGUAAGUUAGAGGUGAAAGCUCGAUGCUCAACAUCGAAACUGCCUCUGAUACUGUCUG
RNAcentral lists this ribosomal RNA (305 nucleotides) under uncultured bacterium. RNAcentral's name for it is "bacterial SSU rRNA". It matches the Rfam family "Bacterial small subunit ribosomal RNA", at positions 337 to 639 of the family's 1533-position model. The record is from RNAcentral.